RNAcentral lists this long non-coding RNA (244 nucleotides) under Apteryx rowi (Okarito brown kiwi). Its description in RNAcentral is "lncRNA (ENSARWG00000001649.1)". The record is from RNAcentral. Lineage: Eukaryota; Metazoa; Chordata; Aves; Apterygiformes; Apterygidae.
CAGUACCCAGGCGUUCGGCCGAAAAUAAGGAAGCUUUCUGUGGAUGCUGCGGCAGAAUGUUCGUGGAGAAAGCUGCUCUUCAUCCAGUUAACAACCAUCUUUCAGUUGGUCUGGUCAACAGGAGAAGACAUGAGACUGAUACCUUUUAUCAUCAUGCAUCAGAAUUGUCAGUCUAGAAAUGGUAAGGUAAGAAUGCAGAACUUAUCUGAAUCAAAUCUCCAGAAAAAGAUUUAGCCAGAGAAAG